This 496-nucleotide ribosomal RNA is filed under the name uncultured Pseudomonas sp. RNAcentral describes it as "bacterial SSU rRNA". It matches the Rfam family "Bacterial small subunit ribosomal RNA", at positions 904 to 1382 of the family's 1533-position model. The record is from RNAcentral. Lineage: Bacteria; Pseudomonadati; Pseudomonadota; Gammaproteobacteria; Pseudomonadales; Pseudomonadaceae.
CCACGCCGCUCAGAAACUCAAGGAAUUGACGGGGCCCGCACAAGCGGUGAGCAUGUGGUUUAAUCGAAGCAACGCGAAGAACCUUACCAGGCCUUGUACAUGCAGAGAACUUUCCAGAGAUGGAUUGGUGCCUUCGGGAACUCUGACACAGGUGCUGCAUGGCUGUCGUCAGCUCGUGUCGUGAGAUGUUGGGUUAAGUCCCGUAACGAGCGCAACCCUUGUCCUUAGUUACCAGCACGUUAUGGUGGGCACUCUAAGGAGACUGCCGGUGACAAACCGGAGGAAGGUGGGGAUGACGUCAAGUCAUCAUGGCCCUCACGGCCUGGGCUACACACGUGCUACAAUGGUCGGUACAAAGGGUUGCCAAGCCGCGAGGUGGAGCUAAUCCCAUAAAACCGAUCGUAGUCCGGAUCGCAGUCUGCAACUCGACUGCGUGAAGUCGGAAUCGCUAGUAAUCGUGAAUCAGAAUGUCACGGUGAAUACGUUCCCGGGCCUU